Molecule: long non-coding RNA, 1213 nt
Organism: Myotis brandtii (Brandt's bat)
Lineage: Eukaryota; Metazoa; Chordata; Mammalia; Chiroptera; Vespertilionidae
Exons: 2
Source: RefSeq, a predicted model, not a curated record
AGAAGAAUUUGCUGUUGCUCCCAUUCACUGCUAAGGAGACAGCCUUAGAAAGGAUGUGGAUGAGUAACUGAGUAAAAUGGCCAGUUUAUCCUUCCCCAAAGCUCAAGUUCUUUCUUCGAUGGAAAAAGGUAGGUAAUUUGAGCAGGCAAGUGCAGAGGCUGGGUUCGAACCCAGGACUGUUUGUUUCCAUUAUCUCAAAAACUCAAGAAUUUAACAAGAAUGGGAAGGGGAAAUAUUUUGCCUUCUUUGGUCUCAUAUUCUAAAUCUGAGCUCAAAUUUAUGAGCAUUGGUAUGAUUCACAGACUGGACAGGGGCCAACAUAGAGCUGCAUCUCGUGUCUUCUCAACAUUGAGCUUAGAGUCAAGUGGAGCUAGAACAAGGGGCUACUGGUUUGAAUACUCAUGAAUUAAAGAAAACCUUCUAGAAGAACAAUGAGAAAUAGCACAUACCAAGUUCCUACUAAGUGCCAGGCACAGUGUUAAAUCCUUAAAUAUCUUAAUCAUCUCAACACUGUGGGGAAGGUAUUCUGUUUCCUGUAACUGCGGAAGCCAGCCAGAGGGCACACCACAUACCCAGCCCCCCUCCCGGACCCCAAGAAAUAGGCUCUUCUGUGGAAUGCCAAGCCAGUGCAUGCCCACACCUGCUCUGUGGCUGCCCAGUGCUGUAGACACAAGCUAAAAUCACCUGUCUGAAGUAUAAUAUGGAGGAAUCACUUGGAGUGUCUCUGGUGGGAAAUGGGGGCGACCAUGGUGCUCUCAAAGCAAACCCUCUAACUUGCAGAAGGGCUGUAAAGACAGAAUUGAUUUUGAAUGGCAGGUUUCCUGAAUCUACUUGUGCUGCUUUGGCUCCUUUGUGCUGCCCCCUCUGUUUCAGCUCCUGUUUAAGUGCAUAGUGUCAAGUACCAGCUUCGGACUUAACUUGUGUUCAAAUCCCAGCUGGGUCCAAAGGAAGAUAAAAGUAGUACCUAUACCUUACUGAAUGUCUACAUUACUGAGAACAUGGGAGCAGAGGACUCUGCACAGCACCUGGCACAUGGGAACUGGCGCUCAGGGAAGGAUAAGCAACUUGCUCAGGUGACCAGCUAACAAGUACUUGAGCCACAAAUCAAACUUUGGUCUUCAGGUUCCAACUCCAAAGAGAGCUGGGUCCUACACUGCAGCUACCAUUCUGUGGCCUGAACAGUCUACCUUAAGAUAAAUAAGAAAUGAACUAA